CCUACGGGAGGCAGCAGUGGGGAAUAUUGCACAAUGGGGGAAACUCUGAUGCAGCGACGCCGCGUGAGUGAAGAAGUAAUUCGUUAUGUAAAGCUCUAUCAGCAGGGAAGAAAAUGACGGUACCUGAGUAAGAAGCCCCGGCUAACUACGUGCCAGCAGCCGCGGUAAUACGUAGGGGGCAAGCGUUAUCCGGAUUUACUGGGUGUAAAGGGAGCGUAGACGGCAGUGCAAGUCUGGAGUGAAAGGCGGGGGCUCAACCCCCGGACUGCUUUGGAAACUGUACGGCUGGAGUGCAGGAGAGGUAAGUGGAAUGUCUAGUGUAGCGGUGAAAUGCUUAGAUAUUAGGAGGAACACCAGUGGCGAAGGCGGCUUACUGGACUGUAACUGACGUUGAGGCUCGAAAGCGUGGGGAGCAAACAGGAUUAGAUACCCCAGUAGUC
This 440-nucleotide ribosomal RNA is filed under the name uncultured bacterium. RNAcentral describes it as "partial 16S ribosomal RNA". It matches the Rfam family "Bacterial small subunit ribosomal RNA", at positions 338 to 795 of the family's 1533-position model. The record is from RNAcentral.